Long non-coding RNA from Acipenser ruthenus (sterlet), 341 nucleotides. RefSeq lists it as uncharacterized. The transcript has 3 exons. The record is from RefSeq and is a predicted model, not a curated record. Lineage: Eukaryota; Metazoa; Chordata; Actinopteri; Acipenseriformes; Acipenseridae.
UUUACACUAAUCAGUUGUGCUUUCUGAUUGAGGGUUGUGUACGACGAGCUACGAUUUUACGAAUACAAAACAUAGGUGACAAGCGUAGCAUGCUGUGACAUCUCCGAAGAGCAGGACCCUGCUGGAACGGUACAGACAGGCACGUCACUGAAAUCCACUGCCAGGCAUGCAGGCAGCAGGGAUGUGCAUACCACAGCUGUGCAGUGCAUUCAGGGACCAUUUGAGGUUUGGAAGUGCCUCCCUGUUUGCAAGUGGUCUUGAAAAUCACCGGUGUGGAAUUGUGGGUCCACAGUAUCCUAACAGAGCCGUUUACCUUCUCUGCACUGGGGUUCCUGUCCGCU